RNAcentral lists this unclassified non-coding RNA (307 nucleotides) under uncultured fungus. Its description in RNAcentral is "partial contains 5.8S ribosomal RNA and internal transcribed spacer 2". The stretch from base 1 to 133 matches the Rfam family "5.8S ribosomal RNA", at positions 22 to 154 of the family's 154-position model. Lineage: Eukaryota; Fungi. The record is from RNAcentral.
UGGUUCUGGCAUCGAUGAAGAACGCAGCGAAAUGCGAUAAGUAAUGUGAAUUGCAGAAUUCAGUGAAUCAUCGAAUCUUUGAACGCACAUUGCGCCCUGUGGUAUUCCGCGGGGCAUGCCUGUUCGAGCGUCAUUUUACCAAUCAAGCUCUGCUUGGCAUUGGAGCCCGUACGAGUACGGCUCUCAAAGACAAUAGCAGUCUAAACAAGACCCUAAGCAUAGUAAACUUUCUUGCUUCUGGGCGCUGUAGUGACUUGCUCACACCUAUCUUAAGGUUGACCUCGGAUCAGGUAGGGAUACCCGCUGA